RNAcentral lists this ribosomal RNA (950 nucleotides) under uncultured Pseudomonas sp. RNAcentral describes it as "bacterial SSU rRNA". It matches the Rfam family "Bacterial small subunit ribosomal RNA", at positions 8 to 953 of the family's 1533-position model. Lineage: Bacteria; Pseudomonadati; Pseudomonadota; Gammaproteobacteria; Pseudomonadales; Pseudomonadaceae. The record is from RNAcentral.
AGGGUUUGAUUAUGGCUCAGAUUGAACGCUGGCGGCAGGCCUAACACAUGCAAGUCGAGCGGUAGAGAGGUGCUUGCACCUCUUGAGAGCGGCGGACGGGUGAGUAAUGCCUAGGAAUCUGCCUGGUAGUGGGGGAUAACGCUCGGAAACGGACGCUAAUACCGCAUACGUCCUACGGGAGAAAGCAGGGGACCUUCGGGCCUUGCGCUAUCAGAUGAGCCUAGGUCGGAUUAGCUAGUUGGUGGGGUAAUGGCUCACCAAGGCGACGAUCCGUAACUGGUCUGAGAGGAUGAUCAGUCACACUGGAACUGAGACACGGUCCAGACUCCUACGGGAGGCAGCAGUGGGGAAUAUUGGACAAUGGGCGAAAGCCUGAUCCAGCCAUGCCGCGUGUGUGAAGAAGGUCUUCGGAUUGUAAAGCACUUUAAGUUGGGAGGAAGGGCAUUAACCUAAUACGUUAGUGUUUUGACGUUACCGACAGAAUAAGCACCGGCUAACUCUGUGCCAGCAGCCGCGGUAAUACAGAGGGUGCAAGCGUUAAUCGGAAUUACUGGGCGUAAAGCGCGCGUAGGUGGUUCGUUAAGUUGGAUGUGAAAUCCCCGGGCUCAACCUGGGAACUGCAUUCAAAACUGUCGAGCUAGAGUAUGGUAGAGGGUGGUGGAAUUUCCUGUGUAGCGGUGAAAUGCGUAGAUAUAGGAAGGAACACCAGUGGCGAAGGCGACCACCUGGACUGAUACUGACACUGAGGUGCGAAAGCGUGGGGAGCAAACAGGAUUAGAUACCCUGGGUAGUCCACGCCGUAACGAUGUCAACUAGCCGUUGGGAGCCUUGAGCUCUUAGUGGCGCAGCUAACGCAUUAAGUUGACCGCCUGGGGAGUACGGCCGCAAGGUUAAAACUCAAAUGAAUUGACGGGGGCCCGCACAAGCGGUGGAGCAUGUGGUUUAAUUCG